CAGUAGCCGCGGAAUACGGAGGGAGCUAGCGUUGUUCGGAAUUACUGGGCGUAAAGCGCGCGUAGGUGGUUUGGUAAGAUGGAUGUGAAAUCCCCGGGCUCAACCUGGGAACUGCAUCCAUAACUGCCUGACUAGAGUACGGUAGAGGGUGGUGGAAUUUCCUGUGUAGCGGUGAAAUGCGUAGAUAUAGGAAGGAACACCAGUGGCGAAGGCGACCACCUGGACUGAUACUGACACUGAGGUGCGAAAGCGUGGGGAGCAAACAGGAUUAGAUACCCGCGUAGUCCCUGUCUCUUAUACA
RNAcentral lists this ribosomal RNA (301 nucleotides) under uncultured bacterium. RNAcentral's name for it is "partial 16S ribosomal RNA". It matches the Rfam family "Bacterial small subunit ribosomal RNA", at positions 509 to 808 of the family's 1533-position model. The record is from RNAcentral.